UAUUGAUGCUUUAGCAUCAUUGGUACUAGAUAAUAUUUUUUAUUGAGAAAAAUUGGUACAAAUGAUCCCUAACCUAGGGGCCGGUUACCGUGCAAAUGGUUUCUAAUGAAAGUUCAUUGAUGUAGAGAAGGUUCAGAUGAUUAUUUCUUCUUGUAAUUUAAUAUCAGGGAAAACUGCUAAAAGGAAAUGAAAUUGCAGUGAAAAGAUUAUCGAGGGAUUCAGGCAAGGCGAGUUGGAAUAUAAAAAGGAGGUCUUGUUAGUGGCGAGACUUCAACACAGGAAUCUGGUUUGGCCCUUGGAUUUCUCGGUCGAAAGAAGUGAAAGGCUUCUUAUCUACGAAUCGGUCAAGAAUGGGAGUCUUGACCGGUUCAUAUUUGAUUUGUAAAUCAAAGCAAUCAUCCAUAUACGGAUUGGGAAAAUCGCUAUAUAGUCAUAGUGGGUAUUGCCAGGGGACUUUUUUACCUACACGAAGAUUCUCGACUACGAAUUGUUCACCAUGAUCGCAAAGAGAGCAAUGUUCUAUUAGAUGGAGAGAUGAACCCAAAAAUUUCAUAUUUUGUCAUGGCAAAAUUAUUUGUCCCGAAUGAAACUCAGCACAAAUUUUGGCAUGACAAAAUUAUUUGUCCCAAAUGAAACUCAGCACAAAUUUUGGAGUACUAGCAAAAUCGUAGGAACCUAGUAAGCAUUUUAGAUAAGUACCUAGUCUUAAAAUAUCUUUUUGCUUAUUUUUACAAAGUGGAUGCUUCGGAAAAAAAAUUUGAAGCUAUUCAUAAAAAUAUAAAUUUGGUUGUGCUUUAAAUUAAACAUAACUAGAUAAUUAUUCAAAGACUAGUUCUAUGUAGAAGCAGUGGCGCUCAACUCCAGGUGCAGUGGAGCCACUGCUACAUUUUCUAAUUGAGUUAAGAUGCAUUUUUAUUCAUUGGACAAUAUUACAGUGAUCAUACUUAAUGCUAAACACACUUGUACUAGAUAGAAUUACUCUAUUUAAAUAACAUCAGCACCAAUGAUACAUCUACAAACUGACCAUCACAGUGGAUGUACGGCUCCUGAGUAUGUAAUACAUACAUGGAGAGUUCUCCAUUAAAUCAGAUGUCUUUGGCUUCGGCAUCCUAGUUUUGGAAAUCAUGUGCGGUCAGAAAACCUGUAAUUUCCAAAACAACGAGAUAAUGGAAGACCUCCUAAGUUGUGUUUGGAAAAACUGGUAUGAAGGAACGGCUGCAAAUAUAAUAGAUCGGGCAUUAAGGUCUUCUUCAUGAUCCUUUAGUGACAUUAUGUGAUGCAUUUAUAUUGGUUUGUUAUGUGUUCAAGAAAAUGCAGCUGAUUGACCUACAAUGGCAUCAAUGGUUCUCAUGGUUUCUACCUUCUCCGUAACUUUGUCAUUACCGUCACAACCCGCAUGUUUUGUGUCCAAUAGAGUUGAUUCAAAAUUUCAGAUCUUCGUGAGAAUGAUUCAUCCAAAGAUCGAUCAGAACUACUCAUUUAUCAGCAAAUGAUGUCUCAAUGAGUGAUUUAUAUCUGCACUAAUUUUCAUUUAGAUUAUGCAUAUUCAAUAGGUACAUGCAUGACAUUUUCCAUUUAUUUUUAUUAUAAAUGCAAUUAUUUUAUAAGCAAACUUGUUUUUAUGAUUUCUAUUGGUAUGUUUUCCAUGUUCUCUCCUUGUAGUAAUUUCUUGCACAUCUCAUAAGACAAUCCCGAUUCAUGUUAUACAAAUACACUUUUUAGUAAGUUUUUAGGGUUGUUAACUGUUCCAAAGUUAUUUAAAGGGUAAUUAGUACGA
Olea europaea var. sylvestris is the source of this 1777-nucleotide long non-coding RNA. RefSeq lists it as uncharacterized. The transcript has 3 exons. The record is from RefSeq and is a predicted model, not a curated record. Lineage: Eukaryota; Viridiplantae; Streptophyta; Magnoliopsida; Lamiales; Oleaceae.